This 1218-nucleotide long non-coding RNA is filed under the name Bos grunniens (domestic yak). Its description in RNAcentral is "lncRNA (ENSBGRG00000000586.1)". The record is from RNAcentral. Lineage: Eukaryota; Metazoa; Chordata; Mammalia; Artiodactyla; Bovidae.
UGGUGGCUGAAUCGGUAAAGAAUCCACCUGCAGGGCAGGAGACCUGGGUUCAAUCCCUGGGUCAGGAAGAACCCCUGGAGAAGGGAAUGGCAACCCACUCCAGUAUUCUUGCCUGAAGAAUCCCAUGGGCAGAGGAACCUGGUGGACUACAGUCCAUGGGGUCGCAAGCAUUGGACACGACUUAACGACUAAACCACUUACCACCAUGGACAGUACUUUUCACCACUAGAAUUGUAAAUCUUUAGAUCUGCAGUAGCCCCUUAACUUCUCCCAUUUCUUUGCAGGAAGAAGUAAAGCAUCUCCUGAAGCAUGUGACCCUUUGGCCUUCUGAGUAACCCCAGUCCUGAAGGAUGUGGCCGACAGCCCAGGUGCCACGGUUUCCAAGUCCCGUGGAUGUCUUUGUCCACCUGCCAGAACAUGAGUGUGCUACAUUUGAAUUCAAAUUCAUCCAUGACUGUGUAAGUGGAAAUUGAGCUGAAACACACCUAGACAUUUGUAAUGACAUGGAUGAACGUGGAGGACAUGAUGUAAGAGGCAAAGCCAGGACCUUAGGCUCCCCACCUCUGAGGAAGAACACUGCAUCAGCACUUCCAGAAGAAUGUGCCAAUCAAGGAAGGAAAUGUCAUCACCCCGGUUGCUCUCCAUGGUACUUAUGCCUUUCAAAAUAUUGAUAGCAGGCCCUUGUGAACAAGAGGUCAUCUGGAAAGCUAUCUUGGGAGCUCUUCAAAGCCAGCCGUCUCCAUGAAUUUCCUUAUGAUCCAGUGAGAGGAGGAAGCAAAGAAAGACGUGUUGUUUGGGGUUGUUACAAGCUCUGUUCCACCCAAACUCUCUCGAUCUAGGGGUGGAAAAUUCAGCUAGUCUCCAGUUUAGAGCUAUUUUUCUAGGACUAAUAAAUGGUAUUUCCUAAAUUGUUAAGAUUAUUAAACAAGGGGCAUCAUAGAGGUCUUCCCAGCCAGAUGCCCAGAGAAGGAAAUUACUAAAUAGCAUCCUGAGAGAGGAAGAUGGCUUUAUGAAGAAAAAAAAAUAAAAAGAUUUGAUUCUAUUUCCAUUCAGAUUAUUAGCCUCUUACUCAUGUAUAUAUUUAUUCACCUUUUCAACAAAUAUAUACUGAGUAUCUAUUCUUGGUGCUGCUGCUGCUGCUGCUAAGUUGCUUCAGUCAUGUCCAAAUAGUAUUGAAUAACACAAUGUACCUGUCAACAUGGGACAGAUAUAUAUAUA